CUACGGGAGGCACCAGCAGGGAAUAUUGCACAAUGGACGGAAGUCUGAUGCAGCGACGCCGCGUGGAUGAUGAAGGCCCUCGGGUUGUAAAAUCCUUUUCAGGGGGACGAGGAAGGACGGUACCCUUGGAAUAAGCGUCGGCUAACUACGUGCCAGCAGCCGCGGUAAGACGUAGGACGCAAGCGUUAUCCGGAUUUACUGGGCGUAAAGCGUCUGUAGGCGGAAUGGUAAGUUGGACGUGAAAGCUCCGGGCUCAACCCGGAGAGGUCGUUCAAUACUGCCAAACUAGAGGGCAUCAGAGGAGCGUGGAAUUUCCGGUGUAGCGGUAAAAUGCGCAGAUAUCGGAAGGAACACCAAUGGCGAAGGCAGCGCUCUGGGAUGAACCUGACGCUAAGAGACGAAAGCUAGGGGAGCGAACAGGAUUAGAUACCCUCGUAGUC
Molecule: ribosomal RNA, 440 nt
Filed under: uncultured bacterium
Lineage: Bacteria
Description: partial 16S ribosomal RNA
Rfam family: Bacterial small subunit ribosomal RNA
Source: RNAcentral